Molecule: long non-coding RNA, 5619 nt
Filed under: Nicotiana tabacum (common tobacco)
Lineage: Eukaryota; Viridiplantae; Streptophyta; Magnoliopsida; Solanales; Solanaceae
Description: long non-coding RNA (NTAB_LNC002329)
Source: RNAcentral
CUUAACUCAAAAUCCCGAACCUAGAAACCCUUUUAGCAUAAUAUACAAGAAAAAUCAAAAAUUAACCUAGACCUAGAGAUAGAGCCUUCAGCAGUUGGAGAGAAGAUAAUCAGCGGUUGGUUUACAAGGGACAAAAUAGUGUCAUCUUCUUCAUGAAGAAUGAACACAACCAAACCCUAGGAAGAGCUAGAGCUAUUUUGGACCUUCUUAUGGAACCUACGCAAACGAUGAAGCUUCAUCUCCUUCAGUAGACAAACCCUAGAACAACCAAGCCAAAUCCAUCGCUCCAACUCCUUCCUCCAGAACACCGACGACCCCUUUCUUCAGAAACAACACCCCGCUUUGUCUCCUUCAUUCGUCGGAACUAACACCGACAGUCACCAAGUCCGGCAUCUCCCUCUCAUUUUCUAGUUGGAGUCGCUCCUUUUCUUCUACAUCCACAAGGCGAACCAGACCCCCGAAUCUCCUCUUGAAACCAAAUGACCGGUCCACACUUUCAGAAAACGAGCAGCUGCCUCGUCACCAGCUUCCCGCCGCUAGGCUGACCCUGUGCUUCUUUCCACACCUCUUAACUGCUCAGAAACGCACAUAUACAUACAAAUACAAAAUAGAAAGGAACAGACAAAACAAAAAAACAAAGGAUUAAAGGGGGAAGUCAUGCACGAACAUGGGGGUUGGACGAAAGAAAAGGAGUUAGAAAAUUGAAAAGAAACAACAAGGAGGAUCAAAUACUGAUCUGAAACUAAAGAAAAAAAAACAAAAAGAAUAAAAACAAAAACGGGCAGAGGACGGGGAAAAUAAAAAUUACAGAUUCAUGUUUUUCAUUUUUCGAUUCUGUUUUCUUGGUGUUCAAGAAUGAACUUUGGUUAAAAUGUGGGUUUGAAUCCGAGCUUGGUUGAGUUCCGCCCGGUUUUCAAUUUUCCGAUGCUAGUUCGAGUUCCAUCCGCGGUUCAUUACAUCUUGAGUUCAAAGUAGUGAAACAAUCAAUUGUCCGGCUAUAUUGAGGUUCAACUCUUUCAUCCUCUAUUUGUUUUAUGCAAGCUUGAUAUUAAUUAUUAGUUUGGAGAUAUGAUCCCGUUGAUUCUGUAAUUGUUCUCCGUAGUUUUGAAUUUUCUCACUUAGCUAUCUGCUCAUAUGUUUACUCGAAUUGGUUAUAGCUGAACGUGAUUUUGUCACAGUAUAGAAAUUGGGUUGCUAUUCAUCAACUGAACUAUGUCAAACUAGAUUAAAAGGGCUCGGGUGUGCAUUUCAUGUGGCCCUACAAUAAUUUUGAUAAUAAUAAUGGAAUAAACAUGUUAUAAAUCUGGGUGUACAUUUCAUGUGACCCGAUUCUCAUUUCCAACAAGGUUAAAUAGAACUUGUCGUGAACCACGGGUGCAUUUUAUGUAGCGGGGCUUACGAUGUUUUUUAAAUAAUCUUGAAAUUUCUUGAAAUAUUAGAAGAGGCUAAAAAGCAAAAAAUGAAAUAGGUUUAAAAUGUGUAAUAAAUCAGAUAAUUAAGCCAAUACUAAUAGUUAAGCGACCAUGCUAAAACCACGGAACCCGAGAAUGCCUAACACCUACUCCCGGGUUAACAGAAUUCCUUACCCGGAUUUCUGUGUUCGCAGACUAUAAAUAAGAGUCAAACUUCCUCGAUUCGGGAUUUUAAACCGGUGACUUAGGACAACAUAAAUUAUCCCUAGUGGCGACUCUGAAUAAGAAUAAAUAAUCAUGUUUCGAUUGUCACUUAAAUUGGAAAAACUCCCUUAUACUUUUUCGGGUGGUAAAAAAGAGGUAUGACAGCUCUAGCGAUUUUGUUGGGGAAUAGAACACAGAACCUCUGGUUCAGGGUUCAAGAAUUCGAGCUUAGAAUAAUUGUUAUAUUUGGAUUUAUUUAUUAUCUGGUUUUAUUUACUUGUUUGGGCCUAAUAUGCUAAAUGCUGCUUUUUACCGCCUUGAUAUUGUUGAACUGUAUAUAAAUUGAUACGAAACCCUCCUCUCUCUGAGUCUUCUAAAUCAUCUGGGAAGUGUGCACUUCGUGUGACUUCUCUUCUGUUAGAGUCAUAUCCCAAUUUUAGAACACGGUUCGGACAAGUUGCAAAGCCGGUGAAGCUUCUGUAUUCCUGGUACCCUGUCCCCCCCCCUCGGUUUGAGUUGUCCGCUCGGGUAAGCCAGGUCUAGAUCAAAUAAACCCGAGUUUUUAAACCUAGAAUAACAUAGUUGCAUGUCAGAUCCCUAGUAGGAACGCUUGUUUGCAUCACGUGCAUCUAACUUUGGGGACUCAACACAGGGGUUGGGUCCGUCUAGGACAGGUGUACCCCAAAAAAAUAAAAGACCAUCCUAAUGCAUCCUAAUGUGCUACAUGUUGCUAUCUUCAAGGGUAAAAGGGUCAUUUGGUGGACCAAUAAUAGUUGAGGGCAAAUGAAAAAAUAAAGAAAAAAAGAGAGCGUGAAGUAUGAAAAUAAAACAAGUAGAGCUCAGUUAUAUUUUCUGUCACAUUUUGAUUAAGAAAGGACAAAAAAAAUAAAAAAUCCAAAAAAGGAUUUUACACUUUUUCAUCAUUUUCCGAAAAAAAAAUCAAAAAAGGGGAAAAGAAGAUUCAAAAAGAGUUUACAUGUUUCAUCAUUUUCAAGGAAAAGACAAAAAAUAUAUUUUCUCUUAAUUAGUUGUUUUUUUAUUUUAUUUCCCGCCCGUAUCGAAACUGCCCGAACUACGCGAACCUGGUUCUCGUCUCUCAGGGUGGGAUACGUAGGCAAUCCAUAUAGGGUCCGGUCUUCCUAGUGAGUCUUAGGUACUUGGCUUUGCGGGGUCUUAGCCAAAUUUUGCACCUCUAGCCACCUUUUGGUCACAUAAGCCAUUUUGCAAAAAUAGCCUCAAUCAUGUCUUGCAUGCGUCCAAUAGGGAGUGUUAUUGUCUCACCUAUUGUUGGUUUGAGGUUUUUUUAUACAUGUGUGGAUCUACUUACCGGAAUUUGAGCAUGACAGACACCCCGUGACUAUCCAGUCAGGAUCGCUCAUUCAGGAGUUGCUUAAGGAGAUCUGUUUUAUUUUUUUAUGUUUUGAGUCUGUUCUUCAUUUUAUGUUGCCUUUUAUUUUCUAGUUUUGUACAGUAAUGUCGAGUCUUUUGCUACUGUACUUUCUACUUUAUAUUUGAAAAAGUGUGUCGUAACUCAAAAAUCCAAAAAAAAAAGAAAAGAGGUUUCGCAUUUUAUAUUUCUGUUAGAAGUUUUCUUUAGAAUACUAAUUCUUUUAAGGUAGUUUUCCUUUAGGAAAUUAAUAUCUAGAACUCAAAAUAAAAAAUUGUUGCUAUAUUUUCUUUUAGUCCAUUAAGACUAAAAAUUCAAAAAAAAGAGAAUUUUCUUUUAGUACCUCUUUAAAAGUUUUCUUUAAGAUUUUAGUUCCAAAAAUCCAAAAAGAUUUUCUUUUAAGGUUCUUCUUUGUGAAAUUAACGAAAAAUGAAAAACAAUUCUUUUUAUUUCUACUAGAAUUUUAGGAUAUUGUACAUAUAAGAAAAAAACAUACUUUAUCUUUGAUUUAUUUUCAGAAUUUCUCCCUUAGGUAAUCAAAUUAAAAUCCAAAAAUAUUUUUUUUAUCUUUUUCAUUUCUUGGUUCGAAAUCUUUCUUUCAGGAUAUCAAACGAAAAUUCAAAAUAUCUUUCUUUGGUUCAUCCUUUAGAUUUCCUUUCUAAAAAAAUGAAUCAAAAAAUAUUUUUCUCUUCUAAGGGUUUUUCCUUAAUAAUUUCUCAUCAGAGUAUUCAUUAAGAUAAAAAAAAGAAAAAAAAGAAAAAAAAUGAGAACGUUAGUUUGUUUACUUUAUUCCUGAUCUUCCCGAACUACGCAAAGAUCUGAUUCAUGCGGCAUCAUGAUACGUAGGCAACCUACAUAGGGUUCGAUCGAAUUAUUUUUUAUUAUUAUUAUUAUUUUAUUAAAGGAAAAAAUAAGGAAACGAAAAAAAAGAGGUGAAAUUAUGGGAUGUGAGAAAUGAAAGGAAAGAAAAGAGUGAUAAUUAGAAGAAAAAAAAGAGGAAGGAAAAUGAGCAAGCCAAGAAGUGCCAGAAAAUAAAAUAAAAAAGAAGAUUGAAAUGAACAAAUUGGGAUGAUGCCAAGUGACCUUGUGACCCUCGAAAUCAUUUUUGAACCGUUAAUUGUUGCUAGGUACAUUGCACACAAUGUGAUAUUUGCAGUUGUUAAAUGCCCUAACGCUAACGUGAUGACCUCAUUUUGUUCCUUUUUGUUAUCUCCAUUGAGCAGAAGAGUGGUUGGUUUGUGGUUCUUAAGGUAACUCAUCCAUACAACACAAGGUCAAAGAGCAAUGUAGCCAUGACUAGCAAAGACCUGGAUACAAGAGUUGUUGACCCGUCGGGGAAGUUUGUGGAGUCGGAGUCUAAAUUGAAAGGGGAGGUCCAAAUGUUGAAACAACAGAUGGAAGAAUGUAUCAGUCUUGGAUCAAGGGACAUCCUCCACCUUCAUUCCCCACUAACUACACUGAAAACCCUGCCACUGUCCCACCACUAUCACAAAUCCAGAAUCCCACUGCUGCUGAUAUCUCCCUACAACCUUUUCACACUCUACCUGUCAAAACCACUUCAUAUCCCGCUCCUUUGGCCACUCAUGACCUUGUAGCUCCUUCUCCAGCUAUUUUCCCUCGAUCCUCUCACGAGACUGUGCUCAAAGUCCCCAAUGCCCAACACUAUGCUCCAGAACCAACUUUCAAAGUCUUGGAUCCAUACUCUCACGCUCCUUAUCAGAUUCAAUAUUAAAAGCUUUUGACAAGUAUCUUUCUAAACUUUCACUAGACCAAUUUAAUAAUGGAAUAAUACUAACUUAAAAGACAUGCUCAAAUAGCAACACAGUAGAUCCAAACAAUAAAAUGUCUGUAUUACAGUGACAUGUAUAUGAGAAAUAAGAAGAUCAAAUUAAAAUAAAAUUAUGCUUAUCAAAGACAAAUAAAAGUUUAUUCAUGCUCAGAAGUUCACAAUCACAAUCAUAAAAAUAAUGCAAUAGUCAAGUAUAAAUGAGAGAUGGACCUUUGAUGACCUCGACAGACCGGGAAUGAAAACGCCAACGGAAACAACGACUUUCAAACUCGAACGGCACCUCGACUGAACGAACUCAAAUGGACUUCAAUCUUGAUCGAAAUUCUUGGUUUGGAACCGAAAACCAAAGGAGCAGAAACUAAGAUAUAUUUUUGGUACUUCUUUUCCUUAAACUCAAACAAUAACUCUUACUUUGAAAUUAAAAACUAAAAGAAGAAACUAAAUAUUUUUGUAUAUUUUCUGAAAAUCAGUCACAACUCUAAUUCAACAUAAAACAGAAACAUUUUUUUUGUAUUAUUUCUCUUCUUUUGAAAUCCAAAAAGAGAUCAGAAACUUUGAAGGGAAUUUGAACAAUUUUCCAAAUUUCGAAGCCAAAAAUGGAACCCAAGACCUUUUCAAAAAAUCUAGCUUUUCAAUCCAAUUUCUCGAUCUAAACUCCUCUUCGUUUCUUAGAUGCCAUCUAUGGGAAAAGAGUGAAUCCCUCUCAAUAUCUAUUCCUCCUUUCUCGUUCUUUACUCUCUGGCCAUCCUCUUUGUUUAUUUGUAUGGUUUUCUGGGGUGGGAUUUAUUGGGAUUUUUCGUUGGCUCCUUGUUGGAAUUGGAACGAAG